AUCAUCUGCCACGUUGGACAGAUGGAGGUAAACAGGUUUCGCGUUGUGUUGGGCUGUUAAGUCUCUUACUCUUCGUCUUCUCCGAACGACGACUCUCAUCAAUCAAUACAGUCCUUUACUUCCAAUCAAUACAUUCAUAAUGAUUUCGUUUCGCCUCCCUCUUCUCCUCCUUCUUUAUAUACAGUUCCUCUUUCGCUUUUUCCAAACCAAACUCUAGAUCUCCUCCAACCUCAAUCCAUGGCGAUGAAACCAAAUGGAUUAGCGAAACACCAUGGCGUUUCAUUUUUAAUCCUUCAUCUUGAUUUCAAUUACCAAAACACCAUCGCAGAACAUAUUGGUCAAAAGCUACAGCAGAUGUGAAUUGGUUGCAGCUGUUUCGAGACAGAGUACAUAUUCUACUAUGUCCAGUCGCGGUCAUAUAGAGCACCAGAAGUAAUUUUUGGGACUGGAACUCUUGGAUGGCUUUGUUAUCUCUCAUCAGUAACUAUUUUUCUCAUUUCCUUUCCUCAGUAUAUCAAUGUUUUUCUUUCAUUUUUGACAGAAGCAUGCAUUUUCUUUUUCUUCUUCUGGUCAAUCAGUUUCUUUGUCUUUAUUUGUAAAGGAUGGCGUGGUAUAUUAUAGUUUGUAUUGCAGGUGUGAAUGGAGAUUAUGGUGGUGCUUGAGUAAAUGAAGAGUGAGUUUCUAUAUGUUUUCCCAAUUUUCAUCUCUUUUGGUAAUAAUAAGAUGGUUGAGCUUUGGUUUUAAGAUGUUCCAUUGCAGUCAACUCCCGAGCCAAACUGAGAAUACCUGCAGAGGAAGGAUGGUUGAGCUUUGGUCGUGAUCUGGGAUAUAGACUCAAGUAAUUUGACUUGGCGAUAUCUAUGGACCUGGUCGCUGUCGACCUCUGCUUGUGCAUAUUAUUGUAUAAAAAGGGUUUUAAAACUGAUCAUCAAAAGGAAUGCUUCUUGCUCCAGUGAGAUCUUGAAUGUUGAGCAUUUGAAGCAUGCAUGUGUUUAGACAACGAAGCACAUACAGGAAAAAGGGAAAUAUGGGGAUGCCGUGAUUCCUGUGGCAAGGCGUUAAGGAGACUUAAAGUCGAAGCUACCACUAUGCAGCCUCAAUUGUUACAAGGUUAUUUUAGGAGAAGAUGCAACAACCUUUGAUUUGUUGCUAAUUACUUUAACAUAUUUUAUCAAAAAGUAGCAUUAACACGUAAUUGUUUUUUACAUGCCCAAAUCUUUGUCAACCAGAGAAGGAACUCAAUUGAUAUGUUUUUUUCU
This is a long non-coding RNA of Raphanus sativus (radish), 1259 nucleotides long. RefSeq lists it as uncharacterized. The record is from RefSeq and is a predicted model, not a curated record. The transcript has 3 exons. NCBI's taxonomy places the organism in Eukaryota, Viridiplantae, Streptophyta, Magnoliopsida, Brassicales, Brassicaceae.